This 672-nucleotide ribosomal RNA is filed under the name uncultured bacterium. RNAcentral describes it as "bacterial SSU rRNA". It matches the Rfam family "Bacterial small subunit ribosomal RNA", at positions 228 to 916 of the family's 1533-position model. The record is from RNAcentral.
GGGCGAUUUCGUAUCAGCUAGUUGGUAGGGUAACGGCCUACCAAGGCGAUGACGCGUAGCCGGACUGAGAGGUUGGCCGGCCACAUUGGGACUGAGACACUGCCCAGACUCCUACGGGGGGCUGCAGUAACGAAUCUUCCGCAAUGCACGAAAGUGUGACGGAGCGACGCCGCGUGUAGGACGAAGCCCUUCGGGGUGUAAACUACUGUCAGGGGUUAGAAAGUUCUGAUCAACCCCAGAGGAAGGCACGGCUAACUCUGUGCCAGCAGCCGCGGUAAGACAGAGGUGCCAAGCGUUAGGCGGAAUCACUGGGCUUAAAGCGUGUGUAGGUGGAUGCCUAAGUACCUUGUGAAGUCCCACGGCUUAACCAUGGAACUGCUUGGUAUACUGGGUGUCUUGAGCCAACUAGGGGCAGUCGGAACAAACGGUGGAGCGGUGAAAUGCGUAGAUAUCGUUUGGAACGCCAAUGGUGAAAACAGACUGCUGGGGUUGUGCUGACACUGAGACACGAAAGCCAGGGGAGCAAACGGGAUUAGAUACCCCGGUAGUCCUGGCUGUAAACGAUGUCCACUAGAUCGUGGCGCCUCUGACGGUGUCAUGGUCGAAGCAAAAGUGCUAAGUGGACCGCCUGGGAAGUACGGUCGCAAGGCUAAAACUCAAAGGAAUUGACGG